Long non-coding RNA from Mercenaria mercenaria, 992 nucleotides. RefSeq lists it as uncharacterized. The transcript has 6 exons. The record is from RefSeq and is a predicted model, not a curated record. NCBI's taxonomy places the organism in Eukaryota, Metazoa, Mollusca, Bivalvia, Venerida, Veneridae.
UCAAUGACCAAGAAUGCUCGAGAAAAUCAUGCAACUUUGGAUGUACACAUUGUUACUGUGAUAGAGUUACACUUAUUUAAAGAAACUUUGAAUACAUAUCCAGAAUUUUCAAAAGAAUUCAAGGAUAAAAUACAAGUGACAUUCAGUCUUAAGCGGAUGCUGAAGUGUUUCUUCGUUUGACACCAUCUCGACAAGUGGGCGAUCUACCUGCUAGCACGGGACCGCAGUAAGGUGAAGGUGAGCCGACAUCUAUGACAUUCUAAAUUGCUCUGUAGCAAGCCAAGGUGAGACAAAUACAACGUUCAAAGACAGAACAGUGAAAAGAUGGUUAGAUACUGCAGCCACGAGAAUCAACGAAGCUUACGUUGCCAACGUUACAGAUAGUGGACCCAGCAUAAAGACGUAUUACAUCACAGCGUUAUAUUUUACGUUUACGUCACUGACGUCAAUAGGAUUCGGAAACGUGUCACCAAAUACCAAUGGAAUUGACAUGCAGGUAAAGAUGAUAUAUUUGGUGGUGACUGCAGUGACGUAGAAUGCUCGGGAAAAUCGUUCUAUUUUGUACGUGCCCUUAGUUACUGUGAUAUUAACAAGAUAGAGUUACACGUGCUGAAAGAAACAAUGGAUUUAUAACCAGAAUUUUCAAAAAGAAUUUAUGGGUAAAAUACAAGUGCCAUUCAAUCUUAAGCUCGACGAAUGGGACCACAGAUCGGAGAAGAUGAGCCGACGUCUAGGGCAUUCGAAUUUUCUCCGCUACCAGCAAGAAGUGGUAUAGAUACGGCGUUCAAAGACAGAUCAGUGUAAACAAGACGAAGAGUUGACGGAUGUUUCAUUUCUUCAUCAGAUUCCAGCCAGUACGUCAAGGUUACAGUGUGUUUUCGGUGUAUCUAUAAGGUCAUUCUUAGAAACAUCAGACAGUUGAGCGCCCUCUGGUAGUCGGCGCAUUUCCAGCUUUGAGCGCCCUCUAGUAGUCGGUGCAUUUCCGGGAAGCU